This is an unclassified non-coding RNA of Callithrix jacchus (white-tufted-ear marmoset), 148 nucleotides long. It matches the Rfam family "Metazoan signal recognition particle RNA". Rfam says of the family: The signal recognition particle (SRP) is a universally conserved ribonucleoprotein. It is involved in the co-translational targeting of proteins to membranes. The record is from Ensembl. NCBI's taxonomy places the organism in Eukaryota, Metazoa, Chordata, Mammalia, Primates, Cebidae.
GCCAGGUGUUGUGGCGGGCGCCUGUAGUCCCAGCUACUUGGGAGGCUGAGGCAGGAGAAUCGCUUGAACUCGGGAGGUAGUGGUUGCAGUGAGCCACAAUUACACCACUGCAUUCCAUCCUGGGCAACAAAGUGAGACUCCGUCUCAA